CACCUGUUUAACAAAAACAUGUCUUUUUGAAAUAAAUUUAAGUCUGACCUGCCCACUGAAAUUUUUAAAUGGCCGCAGUAUUCUAACUGUGCAAAGGUAGCAUAAUCAUUAGUCUUUUAAUUGAAGGCUGGAAUGAAUGGUUGGACGAAAUAUUAACUGUUUCAUUUUAAUUUUUUAUAGAAUUUUAUUUUUUAGUCAAAAAGCUAAAAUAAUAUUAAAAGACGAGAAGACCCUAUAAAUCUUUAUAUUUAAUUUAUUUUUAUUAUAAAGAUUAAUUUUAUUUAAAUAAAUUUAAAUAUUUUAUUGGGGUGAUAUUAAAAUUUAAAAAACUUUUAAUUUUUAAAAACAUUAAUUUAUGAACAAUUGAUCCAGUAAUAUUGAUUAAAAAUUUAAGUUACUUUAGGAUAACAGCGUAA
This 416-nucleotide ribosomal RNA is filed under the name Drosophila kohkoa. Its description in RNAcentral is "partial 16S ribosomal RNA". The stretch from base 1 to 160 matches the Rfam family "Archaeal large subunit ribosomal RNA", at positions 1892 to 2099 of the family's 2987-position model. Lineage: Eukaryota; Metazoa; Arthropoda; Insecta; Diptera; Drosophilidae. The record is from RNAcentral.